Juglans microcarpa x Juglans regia is the source of this 2954-nucleotide RNA transcript. It is a transcript of the gene named two-component response regulator ORR21, with no coding region annotated. NCBI's taxonomy places the organism in Eukaryota, Viridiplantae, Streptophyta, Magnoliopsida, Fagales, Juglandaceae. The transcript is spliced from 7 exons. The record is from RefSeq and is a predicted model, not a curated record.
UUUGUUAUGUUUUAUCGCUUCCCCUGUUUUUUGUCUUUUUCUCUCGGUUUCUUUUUGUUCAAUUCCGCCUUUUCUCAAUCACCAAACGCCCCUACGCUCCCCGGCCUUGUAAAAUAUCCUAGAAUCCAGGCCAUCGACUCACCCAUUUUUCUCACACGGAUCUGUUGUUUGUUUCUUUACCCUUUACUUUCUGGCGGAUUCGGGGCUCACUGUAUCAGAUCUGGCUCCGAUUGACCGUAUAUAUGGUGAAUUCGAGCACUCUCUGGGGCGCAAAGUGGAGUCAGAGAGUGGCAAACUAGGGUUUAGUUUUUACUGAGUGCGCGAGAGACCGUGAGUGUGUGCGCGUGUUUGAUUGUGGUUUUCUAUUGUGGCGGCCAUGCAGAGAGUGGCCCAGUCGAGCGUGACAACCUGCGUUGCGGGCAGCUAUAGCUCGUGUAAGGCCAGUGGUGCUUCUGGUUCUGAUCCUGAAGUUAUGGGGUAUGAGCAGUUCCCGGCGGGCCUUAGGGUUCUCGUGGUCGACGACGACGUCACUUGUCUGAGGAUUAUUGAGCAGAUGCUCCACCGGUGCCGGUAUAACGUUACAACUUGCUCUGAGGCUACUGUUGCUCUGAAUCUCCUACGUGAGAGGAAAGGUUGUUUUGACGUUGUACUGAGCGAUGUACAUAUGCCUGAUAUGGAUGGUUAUAAGCUUCUAGAGCAUGUUGGGCUAGAAAUGGAUCUUCCUGUUAUUAUGAUGUCUGCUGAUGGGAGAACAAGUGCUGUCAUGAAAGGAAUCAGACAUGGGGCUUGUGAUUAUUUGAUUAAGCCUAUACGAGAGGAAGAGCUUAAAAAUAUCUGGCAGCAUGUUUUGAGGAAAAAGUGGAAUGAAAAUAAAGAACUUGAACAUUCUGGCAGCUUAGAAGAGAAUGACCGGCAUAAACGAGGAAAUGAUGAUGCUGAAUAUGCUUCCUCUGCUAAUGAAGGAGCAGAGGGAAUGAAAGCUCAGAAAAAAAGAAGCAAUGCUAAAGAUGAAGAUGAUGGCGAAUUAGAAAAUGAUGAUCUGUCCACAUCAAAGAAACCACGUGUAGUGUGGUCUGUAGAACUCCAUCAGCAAUUUGUCAGUGCUGUGAACCAACUUGGGCUUGACAAGGCUGUACCAAAGAGAAUUUUGGAAUUGAUGAAUGUACCUGGUUUAACUAGAGAAAAUGUUGCCAGCCAUUUGCAGAAAUUUAGGCUGUACUUGAAGAGAUUAAGUGGAGUAGCUCAGCAACAAAGUGGAGUUUCUAAUACCAUCUGUGGGCCUAUGGAUCCAAAUGUGAAACUGGGUUCACUUGGACAAUUUGACAUCCAAGCUUUAGCUGCUUCUGGCCAAAUUCCUCCACAGACACUCGCAGCCCUGCAUGCUGAGCUUUUAGGUCGACCAACAGGUAACCUGAUGUCAGCAAUGGACCAGCCAGCUCUCCUACAAGCAUUGUUACAAGGAUCCAAGCAUAUACCCAUUGAACAUGGAGUGGCUUAUGGUCAGCCUUUGGUAAAAUGCCAAUCCGACAUUUCAAAACACUUCCAGCAAUCAAAAGUUUCUUCUGUUGAAGACAUUUCCUCUGGAUUUGGAGCAUGGCCAUCCAAUAUCCUUGGUACAGUAGGACCUAGUAACAAUCUUGUUGGGCUGAGUGCUCAGAAUACCAACAUGUUGAUGGAUUUGUGGCAGCAGCAGCAGCAGCAACAACGACAGCAGCAACAAGAAUUGCAGCCGCAGUCUAUUCUUUCUGAGCCCGGCUGUUUAAUCAAUGUGCAGCCAUCUUGCUUAGUGGUUCCCACUCAGUCAUCUGCCAGUUUGCAGGCAGGAGAUAGUCCUGCUUCAGUCAGUCAGAAUUGCCACUUUAACCAGAGUUCUGUUAUUGAUUACAGUCUUGUUUCAUCUCGAUCAAAUAAUUCUUCACUGAAUAUUGCUCAAUUCUCAAAUGGGGGUCUUAAUACUACGGCGGGUGUGCCUGGUGGCUACUUAGCCCCAGGUUCCAUUUCAUCUCCUAUGUCCUCUUGCUCUGUAAAUGCCAAUAACAACUUGGGUCAGCAAGGUCAAAAUUCGACCAUUACAUUUAGUGCUGCCAGACAGUUGCCAGGUUUUGCUCCUAAUAGGCAUGAUAUUCAGGGUUCUUAUACUGCAAAAACUGUUGAAAUGGUUGAUCAAGGACGUCUUCAGAAUCUUGGAUUUGUCAGUAAAGGGACAUGCUUUCCAAGUCGAUUUGCAGUAGACGAGUUUGAAUCACCAAUGAGCAACUUAGGCCACGGAAAAUUAUAUGUGGAUAACAACAGAGUGAAACUGGAGCCAAAUGUUGAUUUUAUGGAGAACACAAAAGUGGGCAUCCCUAUAUUACACCACUUUUCGUCGAAUGAUGUCACGAGUGUUUUUACAGAAUAGAUGCAGUUUAUUGGAAUGCAGGUGGCAUAGCAUCUUAGUGAGAGUUACUAAGGCAAGGUGGUUGUGGGUCGUGUUUAUUCCAUAAGUAGUGACAACUGCAUUGGCAUGGCUUUUGAUGUGCGGGGAGCUUGUGAUGUGCAGUGAGCUUGUAGAGCAGAUGCUUAUUAACAUGUACGAUUAAUAAUCCCUUGUGUCAUCUUGUCAAAUAUUCGGUAGGGAUUUUUGGCUUAAUCUUUCAUACGUUUAGUAUAGAUCUGAUUGCCAGUGUCUGAACCGAACUCUGCACUGUGGAGCUUCUUAGAAGUUAGAAUGUAUUCUUUGUUGUGAACGUCUCUGGUAUGCUUGGGGACAACGGACAGGUUCACAUGCGUUUAGGGAAGUAGGAUUACCUUUUUAAUUAGUCUCUAGGAGCAAUAAGUUCUCAGACAACAGUGUCAAUUGGGUGUACAACAUGGUGGCAUCUUGCCAACAUAAUUGUGUAGUUUUUAUGUUUUAAGAUAUUGAAAUACCCAUUUAUUUACUACUAGUUGUAAAUAUAAAUUAAGUUUUUAUUCCU